This is a long non-coding RNA of Lycium barbarum (goji berry), 500 nucleotides long. RefSeq lists it as uncharacterized. The transcript is spliced from 3 exons. The record is from RefSeq and is a predicted model, not a curated record. Lineage: Eukaryota; Viridiplantae; Streptophyta; Magnoliopsida; Solanales; Solanaceae.
GCUUGUCAGCACUACGGGCGUGGUGUAACUUCUUCCUUUUCUUAUCCCUCUCUCCAUUUUUCUCCUUGGAUUUUAUUCGUGUUAUUAUUUUUUUUGAUUUACUACUUUUUUGUAGGUUUUAUAAAGUGGAGUUCCGAAUUGUAUAAUAUGGUUAUUACAUUGGAUCAAAUAUUUGGUGGGCUUCUUGGAGUUUGUUUAAGAUCUUACACAGAUACCUCUUUGCCAUUUUCGUCAGAGCUUGAUAUGCAAAAAUUACAGUCAAGAAGAGAAGUCAUGUGAAGAGGGUGUCGUCAUAGUCCAUAGAGAAUCCAGUUGUUACUUUGUUUGAAGGCUCGCCCAGUGAUCAUCAAUAAAUUUGUGCAGUAACUUGUCAACAUUAGAAUUUAUUUAUAGUUGGAAGUCUUAGUUUGAUAGGAGAAAAAUUGUAUUAUUUGGGAACCAUUAUUUAAUGAUGUUAUGAUAGGACUAUUAAAAGAUAUAGUAUGUCGAGUGACUCUUUC